GGAGGAGACUGAGGGAGGGGGAAGACUGGAGAGGGAUGCUGGCGGAGAGAAUGCGUCGUGACGUCACGGAAAAGAGUCCUUAUAUACUGGCGCCUGGGCGCCAUCUCAGUCUUUCGAGGCUGCGGGUUGGCUCUUGGAAUGGUGCUAGGGAUGAAUGCAAUGUGGCUUUUGAUGGCUUCUGAUGGGCAGCUAAGCGCCCAGGAUAUGAGAAUCGCUGCUGGGGUUGUAAAGCGCAAGCUUAACACUGUAUUUGUGGGCAAAAAGGUGCUAGGCAGAGUUAGCUGAAAGGUGAAGAGGUGAACUUGUCUGACAUGUCUGGACCAGCCUUUUUAGUGGGUACCCGGUAUUAUCUGUGGAUGGCUUGUUUGGGGUGCAGAUUUUGAGGACCUUUUGUAUAAAGGUGUGAAGAGGCCUUGGCUACAAGGCAUUGAUUGGAACAUGCCUUAAAAGGUAUUGUAGCCUUAAGUUAGGUUUCUGUUUUAUGUGAUUUUUCUUUUUUAAGCCGAUACAAUGAUGAUAACAUAGUUCAGCAGACUUGACAGUGAUGAGCAAAUAACUGUCUUUCGCUCCUAUCUGAUGUAUCUGGCUGUAACAAUUCUGUUUAUACAGUUUCUCAGAAAUGUUAAUGGAUUUGGAUAAGCCUAAUGACUAAUGGAGAUGUCCUAUACUAUUAAACUUAAGUCAUAGUCAAGCUUAGGGUUACCAAGAGGGAAACUGAAGGCACACUACAUACAAGGUAGCUAACCAGGGACCAACUAUAAUAGCACAGUGUGGUCUACUCAGUGUUAACCUAAAGCUAAUACAACUUAAUUCAACUAUACUCCAAUAAAAACAUUAAAAUUCCAGAAUUACCAAUUGACAUUUAGAUGAAGACAGGCUAACAUUCUUGUGAGGAAGUUUUUAUGGUAUAUAAUGUACAUAAUGCCAGAUGACUUGUUUAGUUGAUUAUUUUAGAAUCAUUUUUUAGAUCGGCUUGGGAUUCAUAGCAAAGUUAACCACAUACCAUGCACACAAAAUCUAGCACUGGAAUAGUACGUUGGGGUUCACUCAUGUUCUGAGUGGGGACAAGUGCUGACAAACACAACAUACAAAAUACGUUCACUGUCCUAAAUUUUUUCACAUUUUCAAACAGGCAGAUCUUCUGUUACCCUGAAGAUUCAAAGGCAUUUAAAUGAGCAGCAGUCAACGCAACUUAACCAAUUGACAGGUAGCUGGAUGGAUGCUUGUGGGAUGGAUAGAAGAAAAGUAAACAACUUUGUAUUUUAAUAAAUGUUUUUUACUUAAAAGCCA
Non-coding RNA from Sus scrofa (pig), 1290 nucleotides. NCBI's taxonomy places the organism in Eukaryota, Metazoa, Chordata, Mammalia, Artiodactyla, Suidae. The record is from RefSeq and is a predicted model, not a curated record.